Molecule: ribosomal RNA, 273 nt
Filed under: uncultured bacterium
Lineage: Bacteria
Description: partial 16S ribosomal RNA
Rfam family: Bacterial small subunit ribosomal RNA
Source: RNAcentral
ACUCCUACGGGAGGCAGCAGUGGGGAAUAUUGCACAAUGGGCGCAAGCCUGAUGCAGCCAUGCCGCGUGUAUGAAGAAGGCCUUCGGGUUGUAAAGUACUUUCAGCGGGGAGGAAGGGAGUAAAGUUAAUACCUUUGCUCAUUGACGUUACCCGCAGAAGAAGCACCGGCUAACUCCGUGCCAGCAGCCGCGGUAAUACGGAGGGUGCAAGCGUUAAUCGGAAUUACUGGGCGUAAAGCGCACGCAGGCGGUUUGUUAAGUCAGAUGUGAAAU